GAUGAACGCUGGCGGCGUGCCUAAUACAUGCAAGUCGAGCGAACAGACGAGGAGCUUGCUCCUCUGAUGUUAGCGGCGGACGGGUGAGUAACACGUGGAUAACCUACCUAUAAGACUGGGAUAACUUCGGGAAACCGGAGCUAAUACCGGAUAACAUGUUGAACCGCAUGGUUCAACAGUGAAAGACGGUCUUGCUGUUACUUAUAGAUGGAUCCGCGCCGCAUUAGCUAGUUGGUAAGGUAACGGCUUACCAAGGCAACGAUGCGUAGCCGACCUGAGAGGGUGAUCGGCCACACUGGAACUGAGACACGGUCCAGACUCCUACGGGAGGCAGCAGUAGGGAAUCUUCCGCAAUGGGCGAAAGCCUGACGGAGCAACGCCGCGUGAGUGAAGAAGGUCUUCGGAUCGUAAAACUCUGUUAUUAGGGAAGAACAAAUGUGUAAGUAACUAUGCACGUCUUGACGGUACCUAAUCAGAAAGCCACGGCUAACUACGUG
Molecule: ribosomal RNA, 497 nt
Filed under: uncultured bacterium
Lineage: Bacteria
Description: partial 16S ribosomal RNA
Rfam family: Bacterial small subunit ribosomal RNA
Source: RNAcentral